This is a long non-coding RNA of Chenopodium quinoa (quinoa), 152 nucleotides long. RefSeq lists it as uncharacterized. The record is from RefSeq and is a predicted model, not a curated record. NCBI's taxonomy places the organism in Eukaryota, Viridiplantae, Streptophyta, Magnoliopsida, Caryophyllales, Amaranthaceae. The transcript has 3 exons.
AAAAGGGCCAAUAGAAGAGAAAACUGUGGAAAAAGAAGGACAAGAAGGAAAAAAAGGGACUGAAAAAGAGAAAAGCCCUAAAGACAAAACUGUGGAAGAUGUCUUUCCAAAGACAACAAAUGUAGAAGAAGGACAAGAGGGAAAAAAAAGAG